UACAGAGGGUGCGAGCGUUAAUCGGAAUUACUGGGCGUAAAGAGCGUGUAGGCGGCCCGGUAAGUCCGCUGUGAAAGUCGGGGGCUCAACCCUCGAAUGCCGGUGGAUACUGUCGGGCUAGAGUGCGGAAGAGGCGAGUGGAAUUCCUGGUGUAGCGGUGAAAUGCGCAGAUAUCAGGAGGAACACCGAUUGCGAAGGCAGCUCGCUGGGACGUAACUGACGCUGAGACGCGAAAGCGUGGGGAGCAAACAGG
RNAcentral lists this ribosomal RNA (253 nucleotides) under uncultured bacterium. Its description in RNAcentral is "partial 16S ribosomal RNA". It matches the Rfam family "Bacterial small subunit ribosomal RNA", at positions 524 to 776 of the family's 1533-position model. The record is from RNAcentral.